CAGUCGCCACGGUAAUACGGAGGGAGCUAGCGUUGUUCGGAAUUACUGGGCGUAAAGCGCGCGUAGGCGGUUACUCAAGUCAGAGGUGAAAGCCCGGGGCUCAACCCCGGAACUGCCUUUGAAACUAGGUGACUAGAAUCUUGGAGAGGUCAGUGGAAUUCCGAGUGUAGAGGUGAAAUUCGUAGAUAUUCGGAAGAACACCAGUGGCGAAGGCGACUGACUGGACAAGUAUUGACGCUGAGGUGCGAAAGCGUGGGGAGCAAACAGGAUUAGAUACCCGCGUAGUCCCUGUCUCUUAUAA
This 301-nucleotide ribosomal RNA is filed under the name uncultured bacterium. Its description in RNAcentral is "partial 16S ribosomal RNA". It matches the Rfam family "Bacterial small subunit ribosomal RNA", at positions 509 to 809 of the family's 1533-position model. The record is from RNAcentral.